This is a long non-coding RNA of Hippocampus zosterae (dwarf seahorse), 818 nucleotides long. RefSeq lists it as uncharacterized. Lineage: Eukaryota; Metazoa; Chordata; Actinopteri; Syngnathiformes; Syngnathidae. The transcript has 3 exons. The record is from RefSeq and is a predicted model, not a curated record.
CCCCUAAAAAGUAUUUUUUUUAAAUAUAACAAAGCAGGUCACCUUUAACCUACGGAAGUUGUUAGCGGUCACCAGUCUGCGAUUGCAGUUUGCGAUCACAGCUGCUGCCUUGUCUUUUUUAUUUUUAUUACUCUCAUUCAAAGUUUCUUUCAUCUGCAAUUCACCGAUGGCGCUGGCAGAGAAUGGGAAAUUGAAGUGCCAGGUUCCCAUUCACAAUACACGUGAGCUACGAUAGUGACGUUGUUGCACUGACGACGCAGUCUAAGCGCGUCCCAUGCCUCAGGUCUCGACCAAGUGAAAUGCAGCUGCGAGCGAAGAUGUCGUCUGAACUCAACUGAGACGCCUCCAAUCAAGCAAGUUGCUGCCCGGAGGCUUGCUAGGGUUAACAAAACAUACCGACACUGAUGAGAUCACACGUCAUUCCCACAAACCCUUUGCCAGACAUUUAUCAAAUGCCGAGACACUCGCAGCUCACCCACGCAGACGCUGCUGUUGGCCACACCCCACACCCAGACCCCCACACGCAGACUGACUCAGGCGCAGAAUUGGUGACAUCACAGCCCACCUCAUUCCACAGGUCACGCCUUUGAGAGACAUGUAUACAGGUAGGUAUCAUGAUUGCGGUCCGUUCCUUGUUGGCGACAGCCAAUCGAUGUCGAGAACGCAGAUAUGAUGUCACACACAGGCGCCGCACGAGCAGACACGCAGCCAGCAAAACAACAGACACACCCACAGACACUGUAUGGUAAUUGAUGAAAUGGAAUUAAUAUGGGACAAUGUCAUUGCCGUCUGCGGGACUGAAAGCUAUGCAUUGUUUU